This 253-nucleotide ribosomal RNA is filed under the name uncultured bacterium. RNAcentral's name for it is "partial 16S ribosomal RNA". It matches the Rfam family "Bacterial small subunit ribosomal RNA", at positions 524 to 776 of the family's 1533-position model. The record is from RNAcentral.
UACGGAGGGUGCAAGCGUUAUCCGGAUUUACUGGGUUUAAAGGGUGUGUAGGCGGGCUUUUAAGUCAGUGGUGAAAUCUCCGGGCUCAACCUGGAAACUGCCAUUGAUACUAUUAGUCUUGAAUUCUGUUGAGGUAGGCGGAAUAAGUCAUGUAGCGGUGAAAUGCUUAGAUAUGACUUAGAACACCAAUUGCGAAGGCAGCUUGCUAAACAGAUAUUGACGCUGAGGCACGAAAGCGUGGGGAUCAAACAGG